This is a long non-coding RNA of Pygocentrus nattereri (red-bellied piranha), 296 nucleotides long. RefSeq lists it as uncharacterized. Lineage: Eukaryota; Metazoa; Chordata; Actinopteri; Characiformes; Serrasalmidae. The record is from RefSeq and is a predicted model, not a curated record. The transcript is spliced from 2 exons.
CGAGUUACUGACACAACUACGGACACGGAGCGACGAGGACACGGCAGAGACACGUCGUGACAUCUUGAGCCGCGGUUCGCAGGAUUGCUGCCCGAUUUCAUUGUACCCUGAGCAAUGACAAUGAAGAAUCUUCAAUCUUGAAUCUAAUGGGAUCUAAAGGUGCUCUACAGGAAAUAUAGUGGUCUCUACUGGAAACCGUUAAGCCAACCCCCACUGUGUGUUUGAAUUAGACUAUCGUGUACAGACAAAACCUGCGAUUUAUGUACUCACUUUCCAUUAAACACUUCAUCCAUGAA